This 600-nucleotide ribosomal RNA is filed under the name uncultured fungus. RNAcentral describes it as "eukaryotic LSU rRNA". It matches the Rfam family "Eukaryotic large subunit ribosomal RNA", at positions 23 to 641 of the family's 3401-position model. The record is from RNAcentral. Lineage: Eukaryota; Fungi.
ACCCGCUGAACUUAAGCAUAUCAAUAAGCGGAGGAAAAGAAACCAACCGGGAUUGCCCUAGUAACGGCGAGUGAAGCGGCAACAGCUCAAAUUUGAAAUCGGGCAUUUAUGCUUGAGUUGUAAUUUGCAGAGGGAGCUUUGGUUCUGGCAGCGGUCUAAGUUCCUUGGAACAGGACGUCACAGAGGGUGAGAAUCCCGUACGUGGGCGCUGGCCUUUACCGUGUAAAGCCCCUUCGAUGAGUCGAGUUGUUUGGGAAUGCAGCUCUAAAUGGGAGGUAAAUUUCUUCUAAAGCUAAAUACUGGCCAGAGACCGAUAGCGCACAAGUAGAGUGAUCGAAAGAUGAAAAGUACUUUGGAAAGAGAGUCAAAUAGCACGUGAAAUUGUUGAAAGGGAAGCGCUUGCAGCCAGACUUGCCCGUAGUUGCUUAUCCAGGCUUUUGCCUGGUGCACUCUUCUGCGGGCAGGCCAGCAUCAGUUUGGGCGGUUGGAUAAAGGUCUCUGUCAUGUACCUCUUUUCGGAGAGGCCUUAUAGGGGAGACGACAUGCAACCAGCCCAGACUGAGGUCCGCGCAUUUGCUAGGAUGCUGGCGUAAUGGUGGU